RNAcentral lists this non-coding RNA (155 nucleotides) under Acetobacteraceae bacterium. RNAcentral's name for it is "6S RNA". It matches the Rfam family "6S / SsrS RNA". Rfam says of the family: E. coli 6S RNA was the first non coding RNA to be sequenced, but its function was unknown until recently. It consists of 184 nucleotides that fold into an extended hairpin structure with a large single-stranded internal bulge. Lineage: Bacteria; Pseudomonadati; Pseudomonadota; Alphaproteobacteria; Acetobacterales; Acetobacteraceae. The record is from RNAcentral.
CCGGAGCUGCCCGGUGCGUCAGGCUCUUCAUCCCCGGGCCGAUAAGCACUCCCUUGGGAGCUGGCACUGUCCUAGCCGUGGUUAGGAUAUCUGGCGCCCACCUACGCAAGUAGGUCUCGGGAGGAUGUAACGCCAACGGCCAGGGUGGCUCCACU